Molecule: ribosomal RNA, 271 nt
Filed under: uncultured bacterium
Lineage: Bacteria
Description: partial 16S ribosomal RNA
Rfam family: Bacterial small subunit ribosomal RNA
Source: RNAcentral
UACGUAGGUGACGAGCGUUGUCCGGAUUUAUUGGGCGUAAAGAGCGUGUAGGCGGCCGAGUAAGUCUGACGUGAAAUCUGGAGGCUCAACCUCCAGCUGUCGUUGGAAACUAUUCGGCUAGAGUCCGGAAGAGGAGAGUGGAAUUCCUGGUGUAGCGGUGAAAUGCGCAGAUAUCAGGAAGAACACCAAUGGCGAAAGCAGCUCUCUGGGACGGUACUGACGCUGAGACGCGAAAGCGUGGGGAGCGAACAGGAUUAGAAACCCUGGUAGU